This 25-nucleotide non-coding RNA is filed under the name Mus musculus (house mouse). The record is from RNAcentral. Lineage: Eukaryota; Metazoa; Chordata; Mammalia; Rodentia; Muridae.
UGGACGCCUCGGUGAUGUACAGAAA